AGAGUUUGAUCCUGGCUCAGAGUGAACGCUGGCGGCAGGCCUAAUACAUGCAAGUCGAACGGCAGCACAGCAGAGCUUGCUCUGGUGGGUGGCGAGUGGCGGACGGGUGAGGAAUACGUGGGAAUCUGCCCAGUCGUGGGGAUAACGUAGGGAAACUUACGCUAAUACCGCAUGCGCCCUUCGGGGGGAAAGCCGGGGACCUUCGGGCCUGGCGCGAUUGGAUGAGCCCACGUCGGAUUAGCUAGUUGGCGGGUAAAGGCCCACCAAGGCGACGAUCCGUAGCUGGGUCUGAGAGGAUGAUCAGCCACACUGGAACUGAGACACGGUCCAGACUCCUACGGGAGGCAGCAGUAGGGAAUAUUGGACAAUGGGCGCAAGCCUGAUCCAGCCAUGCCGCGUGAGUGAAGAAGGCCCUCGGGUUGUAAAGCUCUUUUGUCCGGAAAGAAAAGCGCCGGGUUAAUACCCUGGUGUCCUGACGGUACCGGAAGAAUAAGCACCGGCUAACUUCGUG
RNAcentral lists this ribosomal RNA (511 nucleotides) under uncultured bacterium. RNAcentral describes it as "bacterial SSU rRNA". It matches the Rfam family "Bacterial small subunit ribosomal RNA", at positions 8 to 507 of the family's 1533-position model. The record is from RNAcentral.